RNAcentral lists this ribosomal RNA (253 nucleotides) under uncultured bacterium. RNAcentral's name for it is "partial 16S ribosomal RNA". It matches the Rfam family "Bacterial small subunit ribosomal RNA", at positions 524 to 776 of the family's 1533-position model. The record is from RNAcentral.
UACGAAGGGUGCAAGCGUUACUCGGAAUUACUGGGCGUAAAGCGUGCGUAGGUGGUUUGUUAAGUCUGUUGUGAAAGCCCCGGGCUCAACCUGGGAAUGGCAAUGGAUACUGGCAAGCUAGAGUGCGGUAGAGGGUAGUGGAAUUCCCGGUGUAGCGGUGAAAUGCGCAGAUAUCGGGAAGAACACCCGUGGCGAAGGCGGCUCUCUGGGACGGUACUGACGCUGAGACGCGAAAGCGUGGGGAGCGAACAGG